UCCACCUACGGGACGCAGCAGUAGGGAAUAUUGCUCAAUGGGGGAAACCCUGAAGCAGCAACGCCGCGUGGAGGAUGAAGGUUCUCGGAUUGUAAACUCCUUUUGUUAGAGAAAAUAAUGACGGUAUCUAACGAAUAAGCACCGGCUACCUCCGUGCCAGCAGCCGCGGUAAUACGGAGGGUGCAAGCGUUAUUCGGAAUCACUGGGCGUAAAGAGCGCGUAGGCGGGAUAGCAAGUCAGAUGUGAAAUCCUAUGGCUUAACCAUAGAACUGCAUUUGAAACUGUUAUUCUAGAGUAUGGGAGAG
Molecule: ribosomal RNA, 305 nt
Filed under: uncultured bacterium
Lineage: Bacteria
Description: bacterial SSU rRNA
Rfam family: Bacterial small subunit ribosomal RNA
Source: RNAcentral